GGACCGCGGGCAUGCUGGGAGGAAGAGCAAGGGCUGGAGGGGCCCGAGAGCUCAGGCCACGGCUUCUCUGUCAUGUGACCUGCAGUAACUCACGUCCCCUCUCUCAGCCUCAGUUUCCCUUUCUAUAAAACAGAGGCCAGAACAGCUUUGCCCUCUCAGGCCUGUGGUGGUGUGGCAGUGACCUCCCUCAGGGCCAUCCCAGGAGUACUUCUCUGAGCAGACACUAUUGGCACCAUAGAUUUCGUAUUUGGCGGGGCUUUCCAGCAGAUGACUCCAAACUGAGUUGAUCUAAUAUGAUCACUACACCUGACAAUUUUCCGGCUGGUAGCUGUAAACUCUUAAGGAAAGAGCACUAUUUUUUUGUGUGUGUGGGGGGCACCUUUUAAAAAUAUAUUUAUUUAUUUAUUUAUUUGGCUGUGCUGGGUCUUAGUUGUGGCAGGCGGGCUCCUUAGUUGCGGUUCGCUGGCUUAUUAGUUACGGCACACCAGCUCCUUAGUUGCAGCAGGUGGGCUCCUUAGUUGUGGCAUGCAUGUGGGAUCUAGUUCCCCAACCAGGGAUCGAACCCCGGCCCCCUGCAUUGGGAGCGUGGAGUCUUAACCACGGCACCACCAGGGAAGUCCUGGGACACCCUUUUGUAAUUUGCACAAAGGCCUUGUGCGUACCGUGGGGCCGUGGCUCAUACAGGUCAGGUGCUUGGCGGAGGGCCUCGCCGGGGUGUCCUCAGGGAAGGACAGCUCACAUUGUUGGCUUCCGAGUUGGUGAGCCUUUUAGGAUCUCGCACCCCUAAUAGUGAAAAAUGUUUGCACCUCUACCUUUGUUUCAUAAAUACGUAUUCAAAUUACAUGAUGUACUAUAGCCCUGAUACCAUGCCUGCUCUAAUUCAUACCUCAGAACCCAAAAUUAUAAAAUAGAGAGAGAACACAUGGAUAGAAAUAGGUGUUCUAUUAUUUUCUUCCUGCACCUGGCAAUCGGAAGCCUGCAGCCUCAGAAGUUGCCACCAGGGGGAGGAUGAAAUCUUUGCAGGUCCGGAAUUCACAAGUGGGAGAGUCAGUUUUUUCCGUGAGAUGUGACUCAGACUUGAUACGAACAGCUCACCUGAAGCCAAGUGCCUUCAUGAAAUCCUCACCAUAGCCCUGCUGGCAAACCUGUUUGUAAGCUUCUGUCCCAAUGUUUACUGAGUGCCAACCCAGUGCCAGGCCCUGCAGGCAGUGAACGGAGGGAGCAGACAUCCCUGCCCUCCUGGAACUGACACUGUAGUGUGGGGAGAGACAAUGGACGAGAUGGGUGAGUUGCGUAUCUACGCUGAUGCUGAGAGGUCUAUGGCGCGCAGCUGAGCAGGAAAGGGGACUCAAGCUCUGUGUGUGCGGUGUCAGGGGUGCUGUAGUGAACAAGAUGUCAGGGAAGGCCUCACUGAGAAGCAGGACAUUUAAACAGAGACCUGUAGGAGGGGAGGGAGGGAGCCAUGGGAUCAUCUGUCGGGGGAGAGUGCAUUCCAGGCAAAGCGAACAGCCAGUCCAGAGGUCCUGAGGGGAGGCUGCAUUUGGCGUGUUCAAGAAGCUGGAUCUGGACUUCCCUGGCGGUCCAGUGGUUAAGACUCCACGCUCCCAAUGCAGGGGGCCCAGGUUCGAUCCCUGGUCAGGGAACUAGAUCCCACAUACCACAGCUAAGACCCGGCACAGCCAAAUAAAUAAAUAUUUUUAAAAAGAGAAAAGAAGAAGAAGCUGGAUCUGAGUGAGCAGGGAGGACAGUAGUAGGAGAAGAUGGAGGAGACGAGGUCAGGGAGGUGACAGGGGUGGACCGUGUGGGGGCUUCGGGGCCACAGGGAGGGCUUUGUCCUUUCCCCUGAGUGAGAUGGAAUCACAGGAGGGCUCUGAGCAGGGCAGGGACAUGACCUGACCCAGGUGUUCACAGGGUCCCUCUGGCUGCGUGAGGGGGGCAGACUGUCGGAGCAGUGGGGGGCAGGUACCAAGACCAGGGGGGAGGCUGCAAUGAUGUUGCAAGCAGGAGAGGAUGGAGGCUGGGCCAGGGAGGGGGCUGCCGAAGGGGAGAGGUGGGCUGCUUACGAACCCGUUUUGAAGGUGGAGCUGGCAGGACUUGCCAAUGGGUUGAAUGUGAAACGAUUCGUGAGAGAAGGAAAGGAGUCAGGGAUGACUGCCUCCCUCUCAGCCUGAGCACCUGCUGCCUUUUAUUGAGAUGGUGGGACGUGCAGGCGUGGGGGGCAGAGGAGGAGCUUGGCUGAAGGCAUGUCGGGGUUGAGAUGCCCGUUAGACAACCACCUGGGGACAUGGGCAGACAGCUGGACACGGGAGUCUGGACUCGAGCUGGAGAGCAGCAGAUAGACGAUGUUUAAACCCUCCAGACAGGAUGAGAUCACAGGGGUCCCAGCACGAGAAGCCCAGGCCCAGGCCCAGGUGGCUCAUGGGGGCAGCUCAGAGGGCUCGCUUCCCAGCUCUGUCUGAGGCAGAACCCCCUGCCCCAACCACGAAAGCACACCAGCUGUAGGCUAUUUUUAGACGAAAGCCAACACCAAUGCGUUGUGAGGUCAGCGUGAAAUGUGGUGGCAUUUCCCCCCAGUUGCAAUUCUUCAUGCGUGGAUUUAAGCACGCAUACGUAUUCAAAAUGGCACGUCACGUAACAUAGACAAAGGUGGAAAAAAUUUUUCCAGUCUCACGUUUCAUGAAACCUUUUUUUUUUUUUUUUUAAACUCAUCACCCUCUUCUUUAACCUCAGCCACUUUUUGAGUCACUGACCCAGUUUUCUGGAACACAUUGUCUUCACGUCUUUCUGAAUUGUGACGAUGCAGCACUUUCGAAGCCACGCGCGAUGCUAUUUUUAUCUCAAGACACAAGUAUCCAUUCAAACAUGAGAACAGUUGUCGCCUUCGUUCAAGUCACUGUGAUCUCCUCAGCAAACCAGCUUAUCGCUCUUUUAAAUCUAUAUCUAUGGCAUUUACAUCAUACAUAGGGUUUGUACUUGGCUUUCUUUCAUUUAAGCCCUGUCUGGAGGAUCCUUCCAUAUCUGCACCCACAUAGCAGCUUCAUGCUUUUUUU
Molecule: long non-coding RNA, 3050 nt
Organism: Aethalodelphis obliquidens (Pacific white-sided dolphin)
Lineage: Eukaryota; Metazoa; Chordata; Mammalia; Artiodactyla; Delphinidae
Exons: 2
Source: RefSeq, a predicted model, not a curated record